AUUGAACGCUGGUGGCAGGCUUAACACAUGCAAGUCGAGGGGUAACGAGAGGAAAGCUUGCUUUCCUUGUCGACGACCGGCGCACGGGUGAGUAACGCGUAUCCAACCUGCCCCCAACUAGGGAAUAACCUUGCGAAAGUAAGACUAAUACCCUAUAAUUUCCUCAGAUGUCAUCUGACGAGGAAUAAAGAUUUAUCGGUUGUGGAUGGGGAUGCGUCUGAUUAGCUUGUUGGCGGGGUAACGGCCCACCAAGGCAACGAUCAGUAGGGGUUCUGGGAGGAAGGUCCCCAACAUUGGAACUGAGACACGGUCCAAACUCCUACGGGAGGCAGCAGUGAGGAAUAUUGGUCAAUGGGCGGAAGCCUGAACCAGCCAAGUAGCGUGCAGGAUGACGGCCCUAUGGGUUGUAAACUGCUUUUAUACAGGAAUAAAGUUAGCCACGUGUGGUUAUUUGUAGGUACUGUAUGAAUAAGGACCGGCUAAUUCCGUGCCAGCCGCCGCCGUAA
This 506-nucleotide ribosomal RNA is filed under the name uncultured bacterium. RNAcentral describes it as "partial 16S ribosomal RNA". It matches the Rfam family "Bacterial small subunit ribosomal RNA", at positions 30 to 523 of the family's 1533-position model. The record is from RNAcentral.